AAUAUUGUGUCUGAGUAAAAGUAAUAAAUUGUAAAUUUAUUUAUGAAAAUAAUAUUUUCCAAUAUUA
RNAcentral lists this transfer RNA (67 nucleotides) under Tapinoma melanocephalum. RNAcentral describes it as "tRNA-Tyr". Lineage: Eukaryota; Metazoa; Arthropoda; Insecta; Hymenoptera; Formicidae. The record is from RNAcentral.